This 465-nucleotide ribosomal RNA is filed under the name Vreelandella stevensii. RNAcentral's name for it is "partial 16S ribosomal RNA". It matches the Rfam family "Bacterial small subunit ribosomal RNA", at positions 338 to 795 of the family's 1533-position model. Lineage: Bacteria; Pseudomonadati; Pseudomonadota; Gammaproteobacteria; Oceanospirillales; Halomonadaceae. The record is from RNAcentral.
CCUACGGGUGGCAGCAGUGGGGAAUAUUGGACAAUGGGCGAAAGCCUGAUCCAGCCAUGCCGCGUGUGUGAAGAAGGCCUUCGGGUUGUAAAGCACUUUCAGUGAGGAAGAAAGCCUUGGGGCUAAUACCCUCGAGGAAGGACAUCACCCACAGAAGAAGCACCGGCUAACUCCGUGCCAGCAGCCGCGGUAAUACGGAGGGUGCGAGCGUUAAUCGGAAUUACUGGGCGUAAAGCGCGCGUAGGCGGUCUGAUAAGCCGGUUGUGAAAGCCCCGGGCUCAACCUGGGAACGGCAUCCGGAACUGUCAGGCUAGAGUGCAGGAGAGGAAGGUAGAAUUCCCGGUGUAGCGGUGAAAUGCGUAGAGAUCGGGAGGAAUACCAGUGGCGAAGGCGGCCUUCUGGACUGACACUGACGCUGAGGUGCGAAAGCGUGGGUAGCAAACAGGAUUAGAUACCCUUGUAGUC